RNAcentral lists this ribosomal RNA (497 nucleotides) under uncultured bacterium. RNAcentral describes it as "partial 16S ribosomal RNA". It matches the Rfam family "Bacterial small subunit ribosomal RNA", at positions 28 to 507 of the family's 1533-position model. The record is from RNAcentral.
GAUGAACGCUGGCGGCGUGCUUAAUACAUGCAAGUCGAGCGAACAGACGAGGUUCUUGCUCCUCUACCGUUAGCGGCGGACGGGUGAGUAACACGUGGAUAACCUACCUAUCUGACUGGGAUAACUUCGGGACAUGGGAGCUCAUACCAGAUACUAUAUUCAACCGCAUGGUUUAAUAGUAAAAGACGGCUUUGCUGUCACUUAUAGCUGGUUCCGUGCUUGAUUAGCUAGUUGGUAAGGUAACGGCUUACCAAGGCGGCGAUGCGUAGCCGACCUGGCGGAGUGAGGGGCCAGGCUGGAGCUGGGACACGGUCAAGAGUGCUCCGAGAGGCAGCAGUUGCGAAUCUGGGACAAAGGGGGGAAGCAUAAUGGAGCAAGGGGGCGAGAGUGAUGAAGGUAUUCUGUGCGUAAAAAGCUGUUUUUAGGGUUGAACAGAUGUGUAAGUAACUAAGCAGUAAGUGACGGUACCUGAACAAGAAGCGACGGCUAACUACGUG